AAAAUUUUAUUAAGAUAAAAGUGAAUGAAUUCCAGAAUGAAAGUACAUUGCGCUUAAAUAGAAGAGAAAGCAGGCGAAGAGUCAUGCUUAGAAAAUCACUAAAAGACAUAAAUGUUUUUGACUGAAAUAAUGAAAAGUUUGAAUGAUCCUUCGGCUGGCCCUUGACCGACUUUUGAACUUCUUAGCCAAAAAUGACUCCUAAGCUUCCGUCCCAUGAACCUAUGUCGAGAGGUGGGCAAUGGACUUAACCUCGUUAAAAUCCCACCCGGUAAAUCCUUUGAGACAAACCCGAGUGUAAGGAAAAAGAGUAUUAAGCUGUCACCCAGACUAGAUUAGCUACAGCCGGCGUUCAUGAGCACGGUCACAAUUUUGGGUGAUGCUGGGUCGCCUGGUCCAUCCUUGAUCCCAUUAAACACAGCUUGAACCGCCCCUACCAGCUUCUUAGCCCUGGAUCGCGUCAUGGGUUCUUCAGGUACGGCCAAAUGGACUUCCAAAACCUCAAUUUCUUUAUAUGGCUAAUGCUCUGGGUCCAUGAUCGUAUCACAUUCAUCGAGGAUGCUUAAAUCUUUUUCUGUCAGCUCAGUAUCAUUCUUCUCACCAUCCACUCUGUCUCCCCAAUCGGUUGGAACCGAUUCCAUUCCAAAAACACUCUUAUCCUCAGUAUCAGUAAUCGGAUCUGAAACGGGGUCGAGAGGAGAGGAAACAUGAGGCAGAAGAAGCUCAUCAAAACGUGGAGAAAGAUUUGCACCGGAAGCUGAACCAAUUUCCAAAAGCUUUGGGGAGGAAUCAAAGUCUCCAGCAUCGCUGUUAUCAUCAUCCUCACCCUGAACGACAGCCUUCCUUUUUACUUUAUCCAAAAGGUCCACUUCGUGGGCAAUCGCUGGAGGAGGGUGAGAUGGUUUCGAGAUACGCAGAGCAGGCUGGUGUCGGGAAUUUCGGGGAUUCUCCCAAUGAUCAAAAAUCGGAUCCACUCUAGGUGGAGAGCGAUUACGGUUGGAGGAAGGUUUCAUCCUUUGAGAUCCAUUCUGAGAAUGAGAAAAGGCCCUUCCUGGUCGUCUCUCUGUGAAGAUCUUGACCGGAGACAACAGAAUCCUGAGUGCGAUGCUUCCUCGGGCCGGUAGAGAAUUGAAAAGAGGUCUCCCGGUGCUGGGGAAAAGACUGUUCUCGCUCACCACUCAGUCGAUGCCAGACUGAUCCUCUUCUGUACUCUGGCGGCCCUCACCAUCACCUCAGUACAAACUGCGGCGAACAGAUCUCUGAGCGAGAGAGCGAGAGGAGUGGAGAUCUUCCUUCACAGAAGUGGCACUGGAGGUAGGGUUCUGGCGAGGGUUCCGUUCACGGCGGGGAAGGUCCCGAUCAGAUCUGUCAGUCCUAAAGCCACGACGGUCAUUUCGGAAGCGACUUCUCUCUUUGCGAGAAUCACAAAGGUUCCGGUCUUUCCGCUGCUGCGAGGCAAGUCUCCGCUCUCUGUUUAUGCAACGCUCGCUCUUUGACAGAAUAGGGUAGGAGCUAUCCUUGUGGGAGAUUAGGUGACAAGUAAAGCAGUACCGAAAAAGCUUAUCAUACUCAAGAGAGACUGUUAUUUCAUCCCCAUUGUCAAACUUAACCUUCUUAAAUUUUAAAGGUCUUGUGACAUCAACAAUCACCUAACACACGACCUUUUUUGUCAUCCACUUUUUUAACUAUCCCCAGAGCAUCGCCAAUCCUCAUGAAAGCAUCUUCCACCCAGUAGUGGAGAGGAACUCCUCGAACAAGAACCCAGAAGGUGACAGAACUCGGGAAAUCAUCCUGGAUGUGCGGUUCUCACCUCUCAAGAGAAAAUGUCCAUUUGUUGAAGUGACAUGGUCGUUUCUUGAAAACGUUCUGAAGGUCCUCCUCUGUAUCAAAGUCAAAAUGAAAGCGGCCAUUUCCAAUAUCCACACCACGAACACGGCCUGCGACAUCCUAGAUACCAGCUCAAGGCAUAAAAGCCAAGAGAGCCUCGGUAUCCCUGCCUCCAGUGUGAAAGGAUCUUCCGAUAAGAGUAAGUUGGAAUCUUAUUAUUAAAGCAGAGUUGUCGAAGGCUGGAAUCAACACCGAUUCGUCCUCAUCGUUGGAGGAAUUCGCACAGGCAGCUUCGUCAUUCGAGAGUCGUUUCAUUUUCCUGAGAGAGAAGCAGAGAAAACAGAGAAAAACAGAACGAGAGGGGAAGUGAAAUGGUUUUGUUUUUUGAAACAAGAGAGAAAGAAAACAACGAAGGGAAAUGAGGGGUGGGUUUAAGAGAGGCGAAAAGAAAGGGAGAAAUCUGAGCUAGAAGAGACCCAGAUCUAAGAUAUUUGGUAGGAGGAAGGGAAACAGGGAACAAGGACAGCCCAGAUCUGUCGGAAAAUCAAAGGCAAGCUCAUCCUUCGAAGAUGUCCGUACAGAGUGGCUAGAGAGAAAAGUCCGUACAGCUUAGAGCGAACUCUGUGUUUCUCAUACGUUUCUGAUGAUUAUGGGAAUGCUUGAACACCCUUACUUUAAAUAGCAAAACUCUAAAUGUUUCAUAGAUUAGUCCAAGUUUCAACUCAUGAUCUAUUCCAGUUAUCAGAAAAUGUACUAUUGAAAAUGGUAUAAUUCAUAUAUAGAAUAAGUUUCAAUCGGAUCUUUCAUUCCCUUCUCUUUGUAGCUAAGAAGGCUUCCUAGUCUGAAAGAGUCUUUCAAAUCAAUGAAGAUGUAAUAUAUGAAACAAUUUUACAUCACAUCAGAAAUUGUAGCCACAACGUAAAC
This 2748-nucleotide long non-coding RNA is filed under the name Eutrema salsugineum. RNAcentral's name for it is "long non-coding RNA (ESAL_LNC001563)". The record is from RNAcentral. Lineage: Eukaryota; Viridiplantae; Streptophyta; Magnoliopsida; Brassicales; Brassicaceae.